Molecule: ribosomal RNA, 182 nt
Filed under: uncultured Tomentella
Lineage: Eukaryota; Fungi; Basidiomycota; Agaricomycetes; Thelephorales; Thelephoraceae
Description: partial 28S ribosomal RNA
Rfam family: Eukaryotic large subunit ribosomal RNA
Source: RNAcentral
AUCUCAAAUCAGGUAGGACUACCCGCUGAACUUAAGCAUAUCAAUAAGCGGAGGAAAAGAAACUAACAAGGAUUCCCCUAGUAACUGCGAGUGAAGCGGGAAGAGCUCAAAUUUNAAAUCUGGCGUGCCUAUGGUCGUCCGAGUUGUAGUCUGGAGAAGUGUUUUCCGUGCUGGACCGUGUA